CUAGAAACAUCGAUGGGGAGAUUCAAACAAACAAUACUAAGUAAAGUUUAUAUAUGUAUUUAUUUGG
RNAcentral lists this transfer RNA (67 nucleotides) under Schistosoma mansoni. Lineage: Eukaryota; Metazoa; Platyhelminthes; Trematoda; Strigeidida; Schistosomatidae. The record is from RNAcentral.